RNAcentral lists this ribosomal RNA (256 nucleotides) under uncultured bacterium. RNAcentral's name for it is "partial 16S ribosomal RNA". It matches the Rfam family "Bacterial small subunit ribosomal RNA", at positions 524 to 776 of the family's 1533-position model. The record is from RNAcentral.
UACGUAGGGUGCAAGCGUUAAUCGGAAUUACUGGGCGUAAAGCGUGCGCAGGCGGUUGUGCAAGACAGAUGUGAAAUCCCCGGGCUCAACCUGGGAACUGCAUUUGUGACUGCACGGCUAGAGUGUGUCAGAGGGGGGGUAGAAUUCCACGUGUAGCAGUGAAAAUGCGUAGAGAUGUGGAGGAAUACCGAUGGCGAAGGCAGCCCCCUGGGAUAGCACUGACGCUCAUGCACGAAAAGCGUGGGGAGCAAACAGG